AUGGAUUGGUGCCUUCGGGAACUCUGAGACAGGUGCUGCAUGGCUGUCGUCAGCUCGUGUUGUGAAAUGUUGGGUUAAGUCCCGCAACGAGCGCAACCCUUAUCCUUUGUUGCCAGCGGUUAGGCCGGGAACUCAAAGGAGACUGCCAGUGAUAAACUGGAGGAAGGUGGGGAUGACGUCAAGUCAUCAUGGCCCUUACGAGUAGGGCUACACACGUGCUACAAUGGCGCAUACAAAGAGAAGCGACCUCGCGAGAGCAAGCGGACCUCAUAAAGUGCGUCGUAGUCCGGAUUGGAGUCUGCAACUCGACUCCAUGAAGUCGGAAUCGCUAGUAAUCGUGGAUCAGAAUGCCACGGUGAAUACGUUCCCGGGCCUUGUACACACCGCCCGUCACACCAUGGGAGUGGGUUGCAAAAGAAGUAGGUAGCUUAACCUUCGGGAGGGCGCUUACCACUUUGUGAUUCAUGACUGGGGUGAAGUCGUAACAAGGUAAGCGUAGUGCU
Molecule: ribosomal RNA, 503 nt
Filed under: uncultured bacterium
Lineage: Bacteria
Description: bacterial SSU rRNA
Rfam family: Bacterial small subunit ribosomal RNA
Source: RNAcentral